Molecule: RNase P RNA, 393 nt
Filed under: Vibrio stylophorae
Lineage: Bacteria; Pseudomonadati; Pseudomonadota; Gammaproteobacteria; Vibrionales; Vibrionaceae
Description: RNaseP_bact_a
Rfam family: Bacterial RNase P class A
About the family: Ribonuclease P (RNase P) is a ubiquitous endoribonuclease, found in archaea, bacteria and eukarya as well as chloroplasts and mitochondria. Its best characterised activity is the generation of mature 5'-ends of tRNAs by cleaving the 5'-leader elements of precursor-tRNAs.
Source: RNAcentral
GGAGUUGGCCGGGUAACCGCUGCUUUAUUGAUGUCCCUUGACCUUAUGUUGGGGAGACUGAUGAAGGGGAGGAAAGUCCGGGCUCCACAGGGCAGAGUGCCAGGUAACGCCUGGGGGGCGCAAGCCUACGACUAGUGCAGCAGAGAGCAAACCGCCGAUGGCGCCUUGUGCGUACAGGUAAGGGUGAAAGGGUGCGGUAAGAGCGCACCGCGCGGCUGGUAACAGUUCGUGGCACGGUAAACUCCACUCGGAGCAAGACCAAAUAGGUUCCCUAUGGCGCGGCCCGCGUUGGGAACGGGUAGGUUGCUGGAGCCAGUGAGCGAUUGCUGGCCUAGAUGAAUGGUUACCGCUGAGCAAUCAGGACAGAACCCGGCUUAUAGGCCGACUCCCCAC